AAAAUUUUAGUUUAAAUAAAAAUUUAAUAUUUACAAUAUUAAGAUAUAAUUAUAUAAAUUUUA
This 63-nucleotide transfer RNA is filed under the name Phaenocarpa sp. QL-2014. RNAcentral describes it as "tRNA-Val". Lineage: Eukaryota; Metazoa; Arthropoda; Insecta; Hymenoptera; Braconidae. The record is from RNAcentral.